GGAAGCGUGGCCGAGCGGUUUAAGGCACUGGUCUUGAAAACCAGCGAUGGGCAACUAUCCGUGAGUUCGAAUCUCACCGCUUCCGCCA
This 88-nucleotide transfer RNA is filed under the name Nitrosomonas sp. RNAcentral describes it as "tRNA-Ser". It matches the Rfam family "tRNA". From Rfam's summary of the family: Transfer RNA (tRNA) molecules are approximately 80 nucleotides in length. Their secondary structure includes four short double-helical elements and three loops (D, anti-codon, and T loops). The record is from RNAcentral. Lineage: Bacteria; Pseudomonadati; Pseudomonadota; Betaproteobacteria; Nitrosomonadales; Nitrosomonadaceae.